UCGGCUCGUUUAUUAAACUAGCCGAACAUGAGUCGAAAAAUUCAGCUUGUGUUCGGCUCGUUUAUUAACGAGCCGAACACGAGCUGGCUCACGAGCUGGCCAACGAACAAUAAAUUAAAAAAAAUUUAGAUUAAAUAUAUAUAUAAAAUAAAUUUAUAAAAUUUUAUCUAUUAGACUUUGAUCUAAUAGUUAAAACUUUACAUAUAAAUAAAUUUUUUUAUAAUUAAGCUCGCAUUUAUAUUUUUAAUUUGUUAAAAAUUAAAUAAUAAAAAUAUAUAUUAUAUAUAAUUAUUUAUUUAUAUAUAAAAAUAUAAAUUAAAUAAAUUAUAUAAAUAUAAAAUAUAUGUAUUUGAGCUGUUAUCGAGCCGAACACGAGUGAGCUGACCCAGCUCGUGUUCGGCUCGUUUAUUAAACGAGCUGAAAAAUCCAGCUCGUGUUC
This 439-nucleotide long non-coding RNA is filed under the name Ananas comosus (pineapple). Its description in RNAcentral is "long non-coding RNA (ACOM_LNC002533)". The record is from RNAcentral. Lineage: Eukaryota; Viridiplantae; Streptophyta; Magnoliopsida; Poales; Bromeliaceae.